This 445-nucleotide non-coding RNA is filed under the name Cavia porcellus (domestic guinea pig). Its description in RNAcentral is "Eukaryotic large subunit ribosomal RNA". It matches the Rfam family "Eukaryotic large subunit ribosomal RNA", at positions 24 to 466 of the family's 3401-position model. Lineage: Eukaryota; Metazoa; Chordata; Mammalia; Rodentia; Caviidae. The record is from Rfam by way of RNAcentral.
CCCGAGGAAUUAAGCACAUUAGCAGAGGUACAGAAAAUAAGGGUUCCCUCAGUACGCGAGUGAACAGGGGAGAGCCCAGCGCCCUGUCCCCACCGCUCGGCUGGGUGCGGGAAAUGGGCAUAUGGAAGACCCACUCUCCGGCGCCGCUUGCUGGGGCCCAAGUCCUUCUGAUGGAGGCCCAGCCCGUGGACGGUGUGAGGCCGGCAGAUGCCCCCGGCGCGCCGGGUCCGGGUCUUCCCGGAGUCUGCUUGCUUGGGAAUGCAGCCCAAAGCGGGUGGUAAUCUCCAUCUAAGGCUAAAUACCGGCACGAGACCCAUAUUCAAUAAAUACCACAAGGGAAAGCUGAAAAGAACUUUGAAGAGAGAGUUCAAGAGGGCGCGAAAACCUUGAGUUAGACAGGUGGGGUGCUCGCAGUGCGCCCGGAAGAUCUAACCUGGCAGCAUUA